RNAcentral lists this ribosomal RNA (460 nucleotides) under uncultured bacterium. RNAcentral describes it as "partial 16S ribosomal RNA". It matches the Rfam family "Bacterial small subunit ribosomal RNA", at positions 338 to 795 of the family's 1533-position model. The record is from RNAcentral.
CCUACGGGUGUCAGCAGUGAGGAAUAUUGGUCAAUGGGCGAGAGCCUGAACCAGCCAAGUCGCGUGAAGGAUGACUGCCCUAUGGGUUGUAAACUUCUUUUGUCGGGGAGUAAGGUGGUCCACGUGUCGGGUUUUGGAGAGUACCUGUAGAAAAAGCAUCGGCUAACUCCGUGCCAGCAGCCGCGGUAAUACGGGGGAUGCGAGGUUUAUCCGGUUUUAUGGGGUUUAAGGGGUGCGUGGGCGGUGUUUAAGGCCAGCGGUAAAGUUUCGGGCCUAAACGCCGUAGUGCCGUUGAAACUGGUGGCCUUGAGUGGGGGAGAGGUAGGCGGAAUGCGUGGUGUAGCGGUGAAAUGCAUAGAUAUCACGAAGAACCCCGAUUGCGAAGGCAGCUCACCGGCGUCCAACUGACGCUGAGGCACGAAAGUGUGGGGAUCGAACAGGAUUAGAUACCCGAGUAGUC